Molecule: ribosomal RNA, 356 nt
Filed under: uncultured bacterium
Lineage: Bacteria
Description: partial 16S ribosomal RNA
Rfam family: Bacterial small subunit ribosomal RNA
Source: RNAcentral
CCUACGGGUGGCUGCAGUGAGGAAUAUUGGUCAAUGGACGCAAGUCUGAUCCAGCCAUGCCGCGUGCAUGAUGACGGCUCUAUGGUUUGUAAACUCCUUUUGUACGGGGGUAAACCCCGAUACGUGUAACGUUUUGAAAGUAUCGUACGAAUAAGGCACGGCUAACUCCGUGCCAGCAGCCGCGGUAAUACGGUGGAUCCGAGCGUUAUCCGGAUUUAUUGGGUUUAAAGGGUGGGUAGGCGGUUUGAUAAGUUAGAGGUGAAAUGUCGGGGCUCAACCCCGAACCGGACUCUAAUACCGUUGGACAAGAGAAUAGGUGCGGUAGGAGGAAUGUAUGGUGAAGCGGUGAAAUGCUU